ACUGAGGUGGCGCAUCGGUCAGCGCGACCCAUAGAUAAAGGAUAGGUAGAUGGUUCGACUCCAUCCCCCAGUU
This 73-nucleotide transfer RNA is filed under the name Phyllobacterium zundukense. RNAcentral describes it as "tRNA-Ser". It matches the Rfam family "tRNA". From Rfam's summary of the family: Transfer RNA (tRNA) molecules are approximately 80 nucleotides in length. The record is from RNAcentral. Lineage: Bacteria; Pseudomonadati; Pseudomonadota; Alphaproteobacteria; Hyphomicrobiales; Phyllobacteriaceae.